Sturnus vulgaris (Common starling) is the source of this 1059-nucleotide non-coding RNA. Lineage: Eukaryota; Metazoa; Chordata; Aves; Passeriformes; Sturnidae. The record is from RefSeq and is a predicted model, not a curated record.
UCUUUAGAAGAGAAUGGGAAAACAGCCAGGCUAACUUCAGCACAAGUAUGUUGGUGGCACCUAUAAACAUGCAGGUGUGUGGAGGAACAGGUCCUGUUCUCGCUGUUGUUACUCCCACAUAGGCAGACUCUGUAAUAGAUUAUGUGUGGGUAGGGCCCUAUUGAAAUUCAGGAGAUUCUGCAGUAGUGCGGGGUUCUUUUUGUGAAAGUUCAGUUGCAAGAUCAGGACCCUACUGUGCCUCCUUACUGUGCAUUCUGUCACUGUCUCAUUGAUUGUACUGGAACCUGCCUAUUGGGAUAAUCACCAAAUACUAUAUUCCUCAAAACUUCUUAAUGGCACUGAGGCUUUGUGGAUAGUUGGUCACAUGAUGGGAAAAUUCAGCUGUAAGUACAUCAAAAUGAUUGACUUUUUCAAUAGUUAGUCUUUACUGAUGUUGGCAAACUAAUAGUGACAAAAAUGUGAAUCAAGAGGUUUGACUUAUGUCAAUUACUUCAGUACUUUUUAGAAAAUAUAUACAGUACACCCAUUAAGGAUUUUAUUAUUCUUAGGUAAUUCACCAUGGGACCCUGAAGUUCUUCCCUACUGCUAUUAGGUUGGGAGUUCUAAGUUUGUUUUCUUUACUUUCAGAGUGGUGUGUCUGCCUUGCUCUGUGUUUUGACCGAUAAACUUUUUGAAAUUUAUAGAUCUACAAAAACUGUUUAUACCAUUAAUAUUUGUAUAGCUAUUGCAAACUGAUUUACUAACAUAAUUGUCUUGCUGGGUUGAAUACUGAAAUGUUAAUAAAUAUACACUUACAUUUGUGUCAGUGUACCUUGGUUAAAUUAAACUGAGCUGGCAUUAUGAGUGAAUUUGAUCAUACAUGCUUAUUAGCUAUAGUCUUAGGCAAGAACUACAUAUUACCCAUAUCGUAUGUCAGUGGAUUCACCCAAAAAUAGCUAUAAAUAUCUAUGCUGGGGUUAAGGAGGAAGUUAUUUUCCUGUAGCUAUGGGUACAGUCAUUGCUUUGACUCCUAUUUUUAUAUACAAAUGAGCAAAAACUACAUGUAGGUGUUUUCCCUGU